Molecule: long non-coding RNA, 797 nt
Filed under: Astyanax mexicanus (Mexican tetra)
Lineage: Eukaryota; Metazoa; Chordata; Actinopteri; Characiformes; Acestrorhamphidae
Description: lncRNA (ENSAMXG00005001188.1)
Source: RNAcentral
UUCCGGUUAAGAGCAUGCUGUGCGCGAUUGGUUGUUGCUUCUCACCGGUGUGUGUUGUAAGUGACUGUGUUUAGAAUUUUGUCAUUAUAACACUAUAUGUGUAAAGUGUAUCUUUAUGUUGAUUUUAGCUUUGUUUGAAGUUAAACAGCAGGGUAUUAGAAUCAGGGAUGAAGAUGUUUAACAGUAGAAGCUAAAUUGAAGCUCUGGGUAAGACUGAACAUCUGAGCUUCAUUAGAAUUAGCUGCUAACCACUGCGCUAAGCGCUAGCUCUUUCACUGUUCAGAGUGUCCUAUGUGUACCAGGAAUACACAAUACAAGGCUAAUAUGCUAAUAUGGCUAAUAUGAUGGUGAUCAGUGGCUUCUGGCUGAAGUUACAUCCACAUUCAAUGGAAGAGACCCCGCCCACAUAUCCCACAGACCGAGGAGGACCGGGGAACUGGUCCAGGUCCUGCAGAAGCAGCUUCAGCACUUUCUGGACGGAGGUGGACACCGAUGGGAGUGUGAAAGCGCGGGAGUGUGUGUUCGGUCGGAGUGUGUUCUGGGAGUGUGAGGAGUGUGAUCUGGGAGUGUGACCAGGGAGUGCUCGGGGAGUGUGAGAGGCCAGGUGGGUCAUGGAUCAUCAGAGAUGGAGAUGCAACAAGUGGAGGUGGAAGAACCUGAGGAGCCUGACCGUACCGGCCUUCAUCACCACACUCAUCCUGGUGCUGACCACAGGAGCACGGGCAGGUAGGACCGUCCACAUACUUAUGGACAUCCUUUAGAACGUAUUCUAGAUGAUGUCUAAAUAUCUAAUCAAC